RNAcentral lists this long non-coding RNA (6554 nucleotides) under Nicotiana tabacum (common tobacco). Its description in RNAcentral is "long non-coding RNA (NTAB_LNC000612)". The record is from RNAcentral. Lineage: Eukaryota; Viridiplantae; Streptophyta; Magnoliopsida; Solanales; Solanaceae.
UCUUUUUGUCUAUAAUUAGACAAAUAUUAACCCACACUUUUCCACUUUCAAGUUGUAAUAUACUAUUUGGUUUCAUACUACCAAAUUCCUUGUUAAGUAUAUUUAAUUGAAAAUUGAACAUAUCUUGAACAAGUAAACAAGCCUGGCAUCCUGAGAAUUAUUAUUAUUAUUAUUAUUAUUAUUAUUAUUAUUAUUAUUAUUAUUAUUAUUAUUAUUAAUAAUAAUAAUAAUAUUUUUUUAUUUUUUUUGGAAAGAGGGAGAUGAAGGAAGGAAUGUUGAGAAAGAGGGAAUUUUUUUUUUUCCAGAUAGAAUAAUUUACCUACUAAAAGGAAGAAUACCUGUUGAUGAAGAUUAAAGAAAGAUAUUAUUAUUAAUUUUAUUUGUGACCAUAUCAAAAUACGAAGUUGUAACAGUUCAGUCCGCCAGUGAUGUUAUUCGCUCUGGGCCUAGGUCCUCACUGGUUUAAAACACGUCACUAGAGAGUCUAAUGCAGGUUUACUUAUAUACUAAGCAUCUCUUCCGUAUUUUGUCGAUGUAAGAUUCGCCUAAAGUGUCACAGAAGUUAUUCAAACUGCCAUUAUUAUUAUUAAUAAUAAUAAUAAUAAAAUUAAUAAUUGUUCAUACGAUCAAACUUGUCCAUGUUUCACAUUCGAAGGAGACGAGGAUUUCGAACAACUUCUAAGUUCUCUCCCUUCUCUUAUUUAGUGAGGCACACUUCAGUCGAUAUUACUCAGCCUUUUUUUCCUUUUUUAUUUCCCUACGCAUUCAUAUUAGUCGGGUCAGUAUCUUUUUGAAUUGAAAUAUCAACUCAUCGCACCCAUUGUAAGAAAUACCGGAACUUAUAAAAUAGGUACAUAUGAGAUAAUACCUACGGGGACGAAGUCAUUAACCACGAUAACAACGACAAUAAUAAUAGAACAUGAAAAGGGAAAAUAUUGGAAAUUUAAUUAGUCUCAUUUGGUUGUCCAUAUCAGUCACAGCUAGGUAGAGAAUAAGGUUUUGGAAAAGAAAAGCAAGCUGUAAAUGGGAACAGUAAUGAGUAUUUCAUUACGCGGAGAAAUUUUAGGGGGCUUUUUUCACAUCUUAAUUUUAGGGAUUAAGGUUAAUUAAUUAAGUUAGCACUGGACCAAUUACUUCAAAAUGUCCUUACUUCAAUUUAGACCACUUUCACUUUUCUCUAUCUCAUAAUGUUACUCGAUUUAUAUGAUCAUAAAAAAACUUAAAAUAUUUUUGUAAGCUAGCUAAUUAUAGAGAGGGCAUUAAUUGGAAAAAAACUUGCAAUACUAUUUUCUUUUCAAGAAAUUUAGUUGCUUUAUUAUAAAACUUACUUUAGUCAUAUUGGCAAAAAUUAUUAUACUAGAAAUUUCAGGCAUUGCUUUGUUUUUAAUUUAUGUAGGUGUAAACGUUUUUCAUUUCUCAAAAUAUUAUAAAAGUAAAAUUAAAUACCAACUUAGAACAACUAGCUGGCACACCCAAGCUACUGUCGUUAGGUUAUUCAGUUGUUCUUAAGUACAAUUAAUUUCUCUAAUUUGGUUAAUCAAUGAACUGAAAUUGUCCACUAUCUAAGUUAAUGAAUGCCUCUUCAUUAAGAAAAAUCUUUUAUUGUCUUUUUAAGGGCCGAUUAAUCCGGAUUCACGCUUUAAAGUCCAUUUGUGGGGGUAAAUCGUUCUCUAUCAAAGACAACUCUAUUUUCAGAGUCCAAACCUGAGACAUCUAAUUAAUAAUGAAUCAGUAUUUAUAAUUCAAGUUUGGUGGUCAUUAAGAAAAUCCAUUACUAUAGUAAUUAAAAGAAGUAUAUUUAUAAAAGUCUAGACACUAGACAGUAUGGGCAAAAUCAGUUUGCUGCUUCUACUGGUCAUUUGUCCUUACAAAUGAUUUCAUGAUCUCAACUUCAAUUUAAAAUAUUAUUUGCAAAUCAAUAUUUAUUUUACAAUUUGGUUCAUUAUUUCAAACUGUUUUCUUAUUCAACUUCAAUCAAAUAUUGUAUAAAGUUUUUUUUUUUUUUUAAAUGUCUGCAACAAUAGUUUUUUUUUUUUUUUAAAAAAAAAAGGAGAAAAGAAGGAACAACCUUUCCUCUUUUGUACGAUUUUGUCGGUCUGGCUUUACCAGUAAAGAAAAUAUAGGAGCCAAAGAAUCAUAUGAAUAUUUUAAAAUAUGGGUCCCAAAUUCUGUGGCAGAAAUAAUACUUUUGGAAUUGAAGGGUUGCCUCUUGCCUCCUGCCGACGAAAAUAGUACAAGAAAACCGUGAAAUGGUUAAAGCUUAGGAGUCAAUAGUCAAGAGUCAAGGCUCCUCCAUUCUAAUUAAUAAGUGUAAUUUUUAUGAAAAAGAUUUUUUCGUGUUUCAUAUUUGUACUAAACUAUAUUAUAAUCUUUUUAUUUUGCAUUCGGUAUCCGAUUUGGAUCAACAAUAACAACAACAAACUAAGUGUAAUCUCAUAAGUGAGGUUUGAGGAAAAUAGUGUGUACGUAGACCUACUCCUACCUUUAAGAAAUAUAGAAGUUGUUUCUGGUAGGCCAUCGGUUCAGGAAAAAUAAAAGAAAGGGACAACAACAAGCAAACUAAUCUGUUUUGGAUCGCAAAACUAAUUCAGAUUCACGUUGCAUUAGACCGAUUAAAGGAAGCAACGCGAUUCCUAUCAGGAUGUUUUUUAUUUUCAGAGUUCGAACUCUAGACCUCUUAUUAAGAAUGGAGGAAUCUUAUGUAUCAUACCCAGCCCUUGGUAAUAUAUAUUAAUUUAUUAUAGUUAAGCGAUAAAUUGAUACUAGAAUAUAUAUAUAUAUAUAUAUAUAUUAAUUAUAAUUAAAUAACAAAACUUUAUGUAAGAGACACAAAUAUCAUAAUCUUUAUUGGUUAAUUCAAAUGCAACAUAGAUAAUUUUUGUCUCCAAUUUCUAUUCUGAGACCCCUUUAUCUAUUGCUAAUAUUUUCCCAUAACUUACGUGGCUCUCUUCCUUUUUCACCCAUGCCUUUCUUAUUUACAUUCUUUUUUUUAAUUUUUUAAUAAUAAUAUUGUCUAAGCCAGUUUGUACACACUCUUGACUAUUCAUAGUCUUUUUAUUUUUUCUUAAUUGUUUAAAUUAAUUGACUCCAACUUUACAUCAACCUACCGGUUUUGCUUUGAUUCUGGCAUUAAUACUUUUCUUGAGUUUUGACCAAUGCUGGUUCUGGAACAUGAUUUGUCGUAUGAUUUUUUUCCCUCUCCUUUUUCAUAUUUCCUGAAUAAAAUAAUUAAUCACACAAAAAAAAGUCAUGCGCAGCUGGUACUUCCAGCUGGCAACUUCCAACUGGACCGAAACAUCAUCCGACUGACACGUGGCAUAAUUGGAUCCACGCUGUUUUGUGUGAUUUGGACGUUUGGUUUGCUAUGAGUUUUGAAAUUUUUGUAAAUUAAUUCUUUUUUAUGAUUAACACGAAAAAGUUCCUUUUUCGUAAUAUAUGUGGUCCCAAAAAUUAUCUAUGAUUUUAAUCCAACUCAAUUUAUUGAAGAAAUAUGCAAUUAUAAACGCGUCACACUUGAUCAAACAAUAUUUAUGACAUAAUUUCCCCUUCUUACACUUGUUUGAACUUUUAUUUGUCUUAUUAUCAGUGGCUAAAAGAGGAUAAAAUGUUUGUUUGAACGUAUUUUUAUUUGAAAACUUGAAAGUGCAUUUGCUUCUGUUGUAAUUACUCAUUAACCGUAAGUAGCUGGAAUUGGUAAGUUGACUUUUAACCCUACCUAAAUUAUCUGCUAAAACUUAGCUAAAAUCCAUAAGACACAAUGUUUAAUGCAUCACAAAACUUAUAGUUUAGAGAUACGACAUUUAUUUCGAUACAAUAAGUGUAAGUUUUUUUUUGUUUCCACCGCUCUAAUAUCUGUAUUGGAGUCCCUGACUAAUUCAUAUUCACAUUGUUGUUUCGCAUAACAUCAUUGCCAACAAUAGUUCAUUAAAUAGUUUGAGACGUCAAUCUUAUCCAUCCCUCCACAACAAACUUCUGAUUAUCGCAUAUAAUAUCAAUUUGGGGAUGAAAUAAGAAAUUCAAAGAAGUGUAACAGCUGUUGGAAAAUUCGGACGUCCAGUGGCGUACACAAGAUAUUUCAUACGUAGUGUCACAAUUUGAAAAAGUGGACUAAUUAUCAAAUUACUAUGAUAAUAAAUGAUGUUAUUUUUUAUAUUUAUCCUUAAUAUUUUUAUUUUUUUCUUCUACAUAUCUAAUAAUAAAAAUUGGAAUGAAGCGGUGUCGUCAAUUUUGCCGCACAAUGCUGUUUCGCGUUACGCUAUUGCCAAAAACAGUUCAUUAAAUGGCCUAAGAGAGAAUUCACCCACCACCUAUUUGACAUUUUGUCACUCACCAAAAGUUAAAAAAAGGAGAUAAUUUUUUUUUCUCUCCCCAAAACUUACUUCAACUAUACAAACAAACAAAAACAAACAAACCCCACUUAACUUUAUAUUGGAACAAAGAAACUGUCUACAACCUCACCAAAAAGCCAAAAAUAAUUUUUAAAAAAAACAAUUAUUUAUUAGCUAUACUCCUCAAUCGCAGGCUGCCGGCCACAUAUCACCAACUAAUCUUUAAACAAACACAUCAUGUCAUUAUUCCCCGUCCGUCCCAUUUUAUACGAAGAUAUUUAAUUUGGCAAAAAAUUUAAGAAGCUCGAGAAUACUUUAGAUAUGUAAACUAAAUAUAUUUAAAAUACCAAAAAUAUCUUUUAAAAUGAGAGUCGGUGAGUGAGAGUUUUAAAUACUCCACUCGUUUACUUUUACUUGUUCAUUAUACUAAAAAUAUAUUUUUAUUUUUAUUUAUCUAUUUUACCAAAUUAAGAGAAAGACAAAAAAAAAAUUCUUGUUUUACCCUUAUUAUUAACUACUCAUUUCUUAAAUUAUUUUUUAAUAUUUUUUGAAAUGCUAUCAUUAUUAUGGUAAAAUUAUAAAAUAUAUACUACAUUUACUUUUUUCUAAAAAGAGUGCAAAGUCAAAAAUAAAUGAAAUGAGUAUAUUUUUAUUUUGUCUUUCUUAUAAAAGAUAAAUUAUUAUAUCAAGCGAGUUGAGAAGUUGAAGUACUAAAUUACUAUUAUUGCUAAGAGUUUUUCUUCUUCUUUCGUUUGAGGUGGAACAGACCCAUGAAUAGGAGAAGCAAAAAGAGGAAAAUGCAAUUUUGAAUUUUGUAACACUUAACCGGCUUGAGAGUUGCACCUAUUAGAUUAAUAUGAAAUUUGUACCACGUAAAUGUUUUUAGAACCAUUAGACUAUUACUCUAAUUUCAAUUCUGAAAGCUUCAUUAUUUUUGUUAAAUCAAAUUAUUGGUUCUUAAUGAAUGACUUAAUUAUGUGAUUAUAAAUUAUUCCAAAACCCUAAUGACUAGUUAUUAAAAGUAGGGGCAAAACCAGAAUGCUGGUUGCGGGUUCGGCUAAACUCAGUAGUUUUGGUUCAAUCUUUUUAUUUGUCUUUAAAAGUUCAUUGAAUAUAUAUAAUUUCUUAAUGCAGAACCCAAUAUCUUACAGGGAUUUCGACCUCGAUUCCACAAGCUUAAGCUCCCGUUUGGCCAUAAAAUUUGGGAGUUUUUUUUCAAAUCUUGUUUUCAAAUAUCUGUUUAUUUAUAGAUUUUAAUCAUUUUUUGACAGAUUUUGCAAACAAAAUCUUCAAAUCCCAAAAACAGCUCUAGAGAAGUUUUUGAAGUUUUUUACUCACAAAAUUUCAAAUUCUUUUCAAGUAAAAUGUAUGUCCAAACAUAAUUUCAACUUUUAUAAAUUAUUUUUCAUCUCAACUUCAAAACUCAUAUUUUUAAGUUUUAACCAAAUCUUUGUCCAAACGCUAACUAAAAUUCUAAGUCCGCCUUUGAUUUAGAAGAACAAAAGAACAAGAUUGUAAUAAAGUUACUACAUAUUAUUAAAGUGGGAAACAUAUAAAUGAGUAAUAAAUAAAAAAGAAAUAAGAGGGGAGAAAAUGUAGCCAGCUAGCUACUACUCAUAGAGAAAGUGAGAGAAUCUAGUGGGCUUUGAGCUGUGAUUUAGCUGUCCUUUUUUAUAUGCUGGUAUUUCUUGUUUCUCUUUCAUAUUCUUUUCAAAUUCAGCCUCUUCUCCGUUAUCUAUCCUCAAAUCCCAAAACCCCCCAUUUCCACUUCUCUCACCUCACAUUUUGCUUAAAAACUCCAUCUUUGAACUCCAAAAAAAAAAAAUCCAAAACACUUCAGAUCACAAAAACCCCAUUUCCACUUUCCCUUUUUAUACUUAGAUCUCCACUUCUUUCAUCUCACAUUUGCUUAAAAAUUCAUACUUUGAACCUAAAAACCAAACAAACACCUCAAAUCUCAAAAACCCCAUUUCCACUUUCCCUUAUUAUACUCAGAUCUCCACUUCUUUCAUCUCACAUUUGCUUAAAGAUUCAAUCUUUGAACCAAAAAACCCAACAAAUACCUCAAAUCUCAAAAACCCCAUUUCCAAAUUCCUUUCUUAUACACAAAUUUCCACUUUUUUCACCUCAAGUUUGCUUAAAGAUUCAAUCUUUGAACAAAAACAAGAUUCUUGAUUUUCAGAUGACUUAUGUGAGAUGAAGGAAAAAACACAAACACCCAUUUCC